GACCCUCGGCGGACGGCUCAGUAACACGUGGGUAAUCUACCCUCAGGACAGGGAUAACCCCGGGAAACUGGGGAUAAUACCUGAUAGGUGGAGAGGUCUGGAAUGAUUCUUCACUUAAAGCUCCGGUGCCUGAGGAUGAGCCUGCGCCUGAUUAGGUUGUUGGCGGUGUAAUGGACCACCAAGCCGAAGAUCAGUACGGGCAGUGAGAGCUGUAGCCCGGAGAUGGGGGCUGAGACACGGCCCCAGGCCCUACGGGGCGCAGCAGGCGCGAAAACUCCGCAAUGUUCGAAAGAACGACGGGGGAACUCCAAGUGCACUUGCGUAAGCAAGUGGUUUUUAGUAGUGUAAAUAGCUGUUAGAAUAAGAGCUGGGUAAGACCGGUGCCAGCCGCCGCGGUAACACCGGCAGCUCGAGUGGUGACCGCUUUUAUUGGGCCUAAAGCGUUCGUAGCCGGUCCAGUAAGUCUUUGGGCAAGUCUUCUCGCUCAACGAAAAGAAUUCCGAGGAUACUGCUGGACUUGGGGCCGAGAGAGGUUAGAGGUACUCCUGGGGUAGGGGUGAAAUGUUAUAAUCCUGGGGGACCACCAGUGGCGAAAGCGUCCGACCAGAGCGGGCCUGACGGUAAGGGACGAAAGCCAGGGGAGCGAACGGGAUUAGAUACCCCGGUAGUCCUGGCCGUAAACGCUGUGGGCUAGGUGUUGC
RNAcentral lists this ribosomal RNA (701 nucleotides) under uncultured archaeon. Its description in RNAcentral is "bacterial SSU rRNA". It matches the Rfam family "Archaeal small subunit ribosomal RNA", at positions 73 to 777 of the family's 1478-position model. The record is from RNAcentral.